This is an RNA transcript of Solanum tuberosum (potato), 4718 nucleotides long. It is a transcript of the gene named regulator of nonsense transcripts 1 homolog, with no coding region annotated. The transcript has 29 exons. NCBI's taxonomy places the organism in Eukaryota, Viridiplantae, Streptophyta, Magnoliopsida, Solanales, Solanaceae. The record is from RefSeq and is a predicted model, not a curated record.
AAAAACAUAUCUUUCUUCUUCUUCAUCGGCCCUUUCACCGAACCCUAACUUUCCCCAUUUUUUUUCCAAACCCUAAAAUUCGAACACUCUACCAAAAUCUCACUUCGAAAAAUCCAUAAUUUUCAUGCAAAAAUUCAGCCUUUAACGCUAGUUUUUCAUUAUACAGUUUUUGAUUUUGGUGAAGAAAAGUAUACAGUGUAAGAAGCAGUUGAAGGAUUUUUUUACCAUGGAUUCUCAGCCGAACAAUCUCUACGACACGGCGUCUCAGCCGGAUACCGGCAACGACGCAUACACAUUUCUGGAAUUCAACACACAAGGGGAAGAGUUUGAUUAUCCUGAAUUUCAAGAGCUUUCACAGCCAAUUCGAUCUUCUGCGUGGCCAACACCAUCUGAUUCUCUGGUAUCUGAAGUACCUGAUCGGCCUCCAUCGUCGGAAGCAUCGCCGUCGACGAAAUCACGAGGUGGAGGUGGGAAUAGUAAUGUUAGUAGUAGUAGUAAUCAGGCGUCGGUGGUGGAUGCAUUGGCAGCGGGGAUGAGUGGGUUGAAUUUUGAAGAGACAGGGGAUGAUGAGGGUUUUGAGUAUGGAAAAGGGGAUUUUGGGGUUGAGCAUGCUUGUAAGUACUGUGGAGUGGCGAAUCCUGCUUGUGUAGUUAGGUGCAAUGUGCCAUCUUGCCGUAAGUGGUUCUGUAAUUCCAGAGGGAACACUUCGGGCUCGCAUAUUGUUAAUCACCUGGUGCGAGCAAAACACAAGGAGGUGUGUCUUCAUAAAGACAGUCCACUUGGAGAAACAAUUCUAGAGUGCUACAAUUGUGGAUGCCGAAAUGUCUUUCUUCUUGGCUUCAUUUCUGCCAAGACAGAGAGUGUCGUUGUUCUCCUCUGUAGAGAACCUUGUCUAAGUGUUAAUGCAUUAAAGGAUAUGAACUGGGACCUGAGUCAGUGGUGCCCACUCAUUGAUGACAGGUGCUUUUUGCAGUGGCUUGUUAAGGUCCCUUCCGAGCAAGAACAGUUGAGAGCGCGCCAGAUCAGUGCUCAACAAAUCAACAAAGUAGAAGAAUUGUGGAAGACAAAUCCUGAUGCUACCCUGGAAGAUCUUGAGAAGCCUGGUGUGGAUGAUGAGCCUCAGCCUGUUGCCUUGAAGUAUGAAGAUGCCUAUCAGUAUCAAAACAUAUUUGCACCAUUGAUCAAGCUUGAAGCUGACUAUGAUAAGACGAUGAAAGAGUCUCAAAGUAAAGACAAUCUUACUAUUCGAUGGGGAUAUUGGUCUCAACAAGAAGCGCGUUGCAUAUUUUGUGUUCCCGAAGGAAGAUAAUGAGUUGCGUCUUGUACCUGGUGAUGAGCUAAGGCUACGAUAUUCAGGGGAUGCAGCUCAUCCAGCUUGGCAAUCUGUGGGGCACGUGGUAAAAUUAACUGCUCAAGAAGAGGUUGCGCUUGAACUUCGUGCCAGCCAGGGGGUUCCAGUCGAUGUGAACCACGGGUUUAGUGUUGACUUUGUUUGGAAAAGUACGAGCUUUGAUCGGAUGCAGAGUGCAAUGAAAACCUUUGCAGUGGAUGAGACUAGUGUCAGUGGGUAUAUUUACCAUCAUCUGUUAGGUCAUGAAGUUGAGAUGCAGAUGGUCCGGAAUACACUUCCACGUCGUUUUGGUGCUCCUGGUCUUCCGGAGCUUAAUGCAUCUCAGGUUUUUGCUGUAAAAAGUGUUCUUCAGAAGCCCAUCAGUUUAAUUCAAGGUCCACCUGGAACUGGAAAAACUGUCACCUCUGCCGCCAUUGUGUAUCAUAUGGCGAAACAAGGCCAAGGACAGGUUUUGGUCUGUGCCCCCAGUAACGUGGCUGUGGACCAAUUAGCUGAGAAGAUAAGUGCCACCGGUCUGAAGGUGGUCAGGCUCUGUGCCAAGUCAAGGGAAGCUGUCAGUUCUCCUGUCGAGCAUUUAACCCUUCACUAUCAGGUUCGCCAUCUUGACACGUCUGAGAAGAGUGAACUUCAUAAGUUACAGCAACUGAAAGAUGAACAAGGAGAGCUUUCCAGUAGUGAUGAGAAGAAAUAUAAAGCUCUGAAGCGGGCAACAGAGAGGGAAAUAGCUCAGAGUGCUGAUGUCAUUUGUUGCACAUGCGUUGGUGCUGGAGAUCCUAGAUUGGCUAAUUUCAGAUUCCGCCAGGUGCUCAUUGAUGAAUCCACUCAGGCAACUGAGCCUGAAUGUCUCAUUCCUUUGGUUCUUGGUGCAAAGCAGGCUGUUCUUGUCGGUGAUCAUUGCCAGCUUGGACCUGUCAUUAUGUGCAAGAAAGCGGCUCGUGCUGGGCUGGCUCAAUCUCUCUUUGAACGCCUUGUGUUUCUAGGCGUGAAACCAAUUAGGUUACAGGUACAAUACCGUAUGCACCCUGCAUUGUCUGAGUUCCCAUCAAAUAGCUUUUAUGAAGGUACACUUCAAAAUGGUGUAACCGUCAAUGAAAGACUAUCAUCAGGAAUUGAUUUUCCUUGGCCUGUGCCCAACCGUCCCAUGUUCUUCUAUGUUCAGAUGGGACAAGAGGAGAUCAGUGCUAGUGGAACUUCCUAUCUGAAUAGAACUGAAGCUGCAAAUGUGGAGAAGAUUGUGACUACAUUUCUGAAGAGUGGGGUAGUCCCCAGUCAGAUUGGGGUCAUAACACCAUAUGAGGGUCAACGGGCAUAUAUUGUGAAUUAUAUGGCAAGAAAUGGUUCCCUAAGACAACAACUCUACAAGGAAAUCGAGGUUGCAAGUGUAGAUUCAUUUCAAGGGAGGGAGAAGGAUUAUAUUAUUUUGUCGUGUGUCAGGAGUAAUGAACAUCAGGGCAUUGGGUUCCUUAAUGAUCCACGCAGGCUUAAUGUUGCUCUUACCCGUGCUCGUUAUGGUAUUGUUAUCCUGGGAAAUCCUAAAGUCUUGAGCAAACAGCCUCUGUGGAAUGGUUUGUUAACACACUACAAGGAGCACGAGUGCUUGGUAGAAGGUCCUCUCAAUAACUUAAAGCAGAGCAUGGUUCAAUUUCAGAAGCCCAAAAAGAUCUACAAUGAGCGCAGACUCUUCUUUGGUGGUGGACCUGGAGCAGUUCCAGGUGACAGUUUUGGAUCUGCUUUAGGCUCCAGUGCUGACAGGAGAAAUAGUCGUCCUAGGGGUUCUUAUAUGGCACCUGGUGUACCCAAUGGUACUCAGAAACCCGGUGUUCAUCCUAUUGGUUAUCCGAUGCCUCGGGUUCCCUUUCCCCCUUACCACGGAGGCCCUCCACAACCAUAUGCAAUUCCUACUCGUGGUGCUGUCCAUGGGCCUGUUGGAGCUGUUCCUCAUGUUCCACAGCCAGGUAGCCGGGGUUUUGGGGCUGGACGUGGCAACGCCAAUGCCCCAAUUGGUAGUCAUCUCCCUCACCAUCAAGGCUCCCAGCAGCCGGUCGGAAGUAUUGGAUCUAACUUCAACUUUCCUGCAUUAGAUAAUCCAAACAGUCAGCCUUCCAUUGGAGGACCUUUAUCUCAACCUGGAUAUGCUUCUAAUAUGGCUAUCCAGGGACCAGGCCAGUCAUUCCGGGAUGGACAUUCUAUGGGUAGCAUGUCACAGGAUUUUGUGGGAGAUGAUUUCAAGAGCCAGGGGUCUCAUGUUCCAUAUAAUGUUGCUGACUUCUCUACACAGGCUUCUCAAGGCGCAUAUGCUGUUGAUUAUGUAACUCAAGGAGCACAGGCUGGGUUUCCAGGGAACUUUUUAAACCAAAAUUCUCAGUCUGGAUACUCCCGUUUUGGUUCAGGAAAUGAAUUCAUGUCUCAGGACUAUAUGUCUCAUGGUUCGCAAGGUCUAUUUACGCAAGCUGGAUAUAAUGAUCCAUCACAAGAUGAUGGUUCACAGAAUCAUUUUGGCAUGUCCAAUGUUAAUUCACUUCAGUCUCAGAGUUUACUCAAUCCAAUUUACUCUCAGCCAUUUGCGCACUACAAUACACAACCAUUGAACUUGCAAAGUUCCCAGCCUCAACAGCAGCAAGGGCCACAAAGCCAGGGCUUCCAAAAUCAGAAACUCCAUUACAAUAGUUGAAGACCGCAUGGUUGUUAUAUGAUGACUGAUGGGUUAUAGUUUUGCAUCCAGCAAUUUGGUUUGUGCUAUCAACAUGUGACCGUCUUAUCUGACCUUAAGAUGAGGUAAAAAGAGUUUGCCAAUAAUUCAGGUCAGUUGGUGACAUAUUCCUUGCCAAUAAUCUUGAAUGUCGAGUCAGAGGGCUGACAUGGUGGAAGUCUUCUUCUCUGGUCAAGGUAACCAAGCACAGGACAUCCGGUGCUGAGAAAGAACAAAUAACCCAUGUUAUCUUCGUGAAGUUUAGCGUACUGUUUGAAAAGAAGGUAUACUGUUUCUCCUGAGAGAAAGGUUACAUGGCGUGGUAUUGUGUCGGAAGGGUGGGUUAUUCAGGACACGGAGGUUGUUACUUGCGCAUUGUAAGGAGUAUAUCAUUGUUUGAAGCUGCGACCAUAUCUUUUUUGUACAGUGUCCAGGCAAAAUCCAGUUAACCCUUUCAGCUCUUCCUGACAUGUAAUUACACUCUUCAGUUAUUAGUAUUACGGGGAUGAUGAUGAUAGAUGUGUUUGUUAUUGCAGCACUUUUAAGUUAUUGGGUAUAUAAACAUGCAGGUAAUGGUCUUCUAUUUUUAUUGGGUUGCUUGUAAGCCCAGUAUCAUUUUUGUGGAUGUCUUACGAAGCGUUUUGUUUGUCAAUGAUGAAAGAAUUUACGAUUACAAUA